UCUAAAAUGGCAGAUAGAUGUGUAGGAUUUAAGCUCCUAUUAGGAAGAAUUCUUCUUUUAGAA
RNAcentral lists this transfer RNA (63 nucleotides) under Austropotamobius pallipes (white-clawed crayfish). Its description in RNAcentral is "tRNA-Leu". Lineage: Eukaryota; Metazoa; Arthropoda; Malacostraca; Decapoda; Astacidae. The record is from RNAcentral.